Molecule: ribosomal RNA, 465 nt
Filed under: uncultured bacterium
Lineage: Bacteria
Description: partial 16S ribosomal RNA
Rfam family: Bacterial small subunit ribosomal RNA
Source: RNAcentral
GACGAACGCUGGCGGCGUGCUUAACACAUGCAAGUCGAACGGAAAGGCCCUGCUUGCAGGGUACUCGAGUGGCGAACGGGUGAGUAACACGUGGGUGAUCUGCCCUGCACUUCGGGAUAAGCUUGGGAAACUGGGUCUAAUACCGGAUAGGACCGCACUUUAGUGUGUGUGGUGGAAAGUUUUUUCGGUGUAGGAUGAGCUCGCGGCCUAUCAGCUUGUUGGUGGGGUAAUGGCCUACCAAGGCGGCGACGGGUAGCCGGCCUGAGAGGGUGUACGGCCACAUUGGGACUGAGAUACGGCCCAGACUCCUACGGGAGGCAGCAGUGGGGAAUAUUGCACAAUAGGCGCAAGCCUGAUGCAGCGACGCCGCGUGGGGGAUGAAGGCCUUCGGGUUGUAAACUCCUUUCGCUAGGGACGAAGCUUUUUGUGACGGUACCUAGAUAAGAAGCACCGGCUAACUACGUG